Molecule: long non-coding RNA, 12943 nt
Filed under: Homo sapiens (human)
Lineage: Eukaryota; Metazoa; Chordata; Mammalia; Primates; Hominidae
Description: HSALNT0408355
Source: RNAcentral
GCGGCCUGCAGACUCCAUGCCUUUCGGCGUCCACCCUCGCGCCCCAGUCCCGGCCCACUGCGUACCCCUUCCCUGACCUGGACCUUUCCGGGCCGUGUGCUCCUAGUCGUCCUCUCCUCGAGGUGCCCCGCUGUGACCAGCAGACCUGCACACAGACGCAAGACAGGAUAAACAUCUGGGAAGCACAGGUAUAUGAGGCACAGAAACACAAGGCACUGUGGAUGCCUCUUCUGUCUGGACAGAAAACUGGAGUCAGGAGACCUCUCUGAGUCCCCAGAGACAGAAUCAUCACUACUGUGUGUCCUUGGGUAAGUCACUCCUAAUGUGCUGACAUCACCUCUGUAACACACCAAGAUCUUCACAUCUUGGGCACUCAACAAAAGGCAAUCAUAAUUAUUUCUUGUAUAUCUACUGGGGUAUGUCAGGAUGAGGGAGACAAAGGCCAACCACAAGGAAACAAUACUUUCCUCUAGAGACCUUUGGGAACCUCACUAUUAACUGAGUGCCUGGAUGUGCCCUACACGGGGAUAGCUGCUUUAUGUGGGACAGUGGGAUAUCCCAAGUACCCUCUCAACAGCCUGUGAGUAAAGAGUCUUUGCCCCAUUAGAUGAAUGAGAAACCCAAGGCUCAGAGAGAUUUAAGUAAACUGUUCAAGGUUACACAAGCUGGUUACUGCCAAGCCUGAGAACCAACCUAGGUCUUAGAAUGAGGACUACUAUCUCAAUGUGUCCCUAUGUUAUCUCCCAUUUUCUCUACUCAACUUCCUUCCCUGUGAUCACUGAUGAGUCAAUAAUUAUUUCUCAGGGACCUACCGAUGUCUAACACUUUACUGUGUUCUUUAAGAGAAAAGGGCUAGGUAUCAGAGGAGGAAGAUCUUUCACCUUGGUGAAUGAUAUGCUCUCUGGGUAGGCAGAGAGCCUCUUCACAUGAGGCCACUUGAAGAAAGAGCUAAAGGAAAAGUCACUAGGCCAGUGACUUUGGGCCACUGUCAAUGGGCCAAUAGGAGCUCAGAGAAGGCAAUGGCCAGGUUUGCUGGAAAUAGACAGAGAAAGCUUCAAGGAGGAAAAGGACCUUGACUUGGGCCUCAGAUGAUAGGCGGGACCUACAAGGAGGUAGGGAGGGAAAACUCAGCUGUUUGACUAUAGUUCCUGGUCUUACAUUAAUUAUACUGGCCUAUCUUUAUUAAAUGGUCAGGUUGCCCCAACUUGAAAUCAAGGUCUCAUCUGAUUUGUCCCUCUCCCACAGACAAAGCUCUCCUUCCUGCUUCGCUGUAUCUCCUGAAUCUGUCACUACCUUAGAGCUUCACCAUUUCUCAUUUGAACUCUUAGAAUAAUCUCUUCUCUAGUUUUCCUGCUUCCAGCCCUGCCCCUUCCUUAAGAUAAAUCUUGUACAUUACCAUCAAAUUAAACUUUACUCUUCCCUGCUUUUAACUGCCAUUCUCCUGCUUGAAGGCGCUGACGGUAAACCUACCACCCACAGAGUAAAUUCUGCACUCUUCAUCCUGACAUUCAGCAUCCAUCAGAAUUGAGCCCCAGGACACACAUUCUCAACCUAGUCAUGCACUUCUCUGCCCUCACUCAAUGUGCCCCAAGUAUGCCUUAUUCUUCCCUCUCAUUGUCCUUAUGUGUCAUUUACUUCCUGCCAACUGCCUUCUUAUUCCCCCUAGAGGUCCUAGUCCUGCCCAUUCUUAGAGGCCAACCCUCAUCACUCAGCCUCUGAAGCCACCCUAGCUGGAAGUGAUCUUUCCUUCCCCUGUUGCACAGGGUCUCUACCUUUCAUGUUGCCCUUAACAAAGGUUUUUGUACCAUAUAUCCUUGUACCUUUCCACGUUUGUGUGUGUGUGUGUGUGUGUGUGUGCACGUGUGCACUGGGAGAAAUAGUGGUAGCUCAUCAGGGAGGUGGUCAGAUGUGGGACAUCAGAUAUGAUCUUGUCUUCUAUGGUCCCUAUGCUGAUACAUGGUGAUUUGCUCAGAAAAUCUCAGUCUCCGAAGAAGCUGUUUUCCAAUUGGCUCAUAGCUGAACCUGCUUUCUGUGUUCACAAAGGUUGGAGUAGAGGUUUAACUCCUCUUCUGUUUAAUGGGCUUUUGAUAUAAAAAGAAAUUAAUCACAUUCUGAAAGAAGAGCCAUCCCUGAACUCUCAAGUCUAGAUCCCUUAUCUGUUCUUUUAGCACCUUUAUUUCCCCAUUGUUAACACUCAUUAGGUUUUGUAAUUGGCUCUUUCCAUUUCUGUAUCCCCCUAUAAGCCCCCUAAAGAUGGAGACUGUGCCAUAUUCAUCUUUGCAUCCUCUUGCAUGAUUAUUCAAAUAUCCCAUUGAUGAAAACAGGUAUAUAUAUGUGUGUGUGUGUGUGUGUGUGUGUGUGUGUGUGUGUGUGUGUGUGUAUAUGUAUAUAUGUGUGUGUGUGUGUGUAUCUGCUUCUGGUAAUGGCGGACUAGAUGAUUUAGAGCAACCCACCCAUUGAAAAGAACUACAAAACGUCAGAUCUCUAAAAGGCUACAAAAUUAAUACAAUUGUGAGGAAUUGCUAGGUUAUACUACAAGAGAACAGAAGCAUCCAGAGAGGUAAGCCUAGGACUUAAAACUAUAUUUUUAUUGAAGGUAUCUGUGGUUGAGUAAUAAGCCUGUGCUAAACUGCGUGGAACUUAUGGCACAUUCAAGGCACUAUAGUAACAGAAGUCAGAGCCCAAGGCCCAUCAAAAGGGGUGGAGUGUUUCCUGACAAACCAUCACCCAUAGUAUGCUGGGAACCGCAAAUGUUUAUACCUUCAGGGUAAUUGUAAUCAAAAAAUAUACUAGCCCUUACAAAGUCUUGUAGCUUGGCUUUGCAUCAUCUGGGUGGACUAGUGAACUGUAAGUUCUGAACAAAUAUUAUGGUGGUAACAAACAGGAAGCAUUUUUUUUUUUUUUUUUUUUUUUUUUUUUUUUUAGACAGAGUCUCACUCUGUUGCCCAGGCUGGAGUGCAAUGGCGCAAUCUCAGCUCACUGCAACUUCCAUCUCCCAGGUUCAAGCAAUUCUUAUGCUUCAGCCUCCUGAGUAGCUGGGAUUACAGGCAUGCACCACCACGCCUGGCUAAUAUUUUUGUAUUUUUAGUAGAGACAGGGUUUCGCCAUGUUGUUCAGGCUGGUCUCAAACUCCUGACCUUGUGAUCCACCCACCUUGGCCUCCCAAAGUGCUGGGAUUACAGGCGUGAGCCACCGCACCUGGCCAGGAGGCACUCUUAUGGGCCUGACCAAUGCAAAUAAAAUCUUCUCUAGAGUAAGAUUUUUAUCAUCUUAGGCCUUAGAUUAUUACAACAAUUGCUGAAAUACAAUAUCCACACACAAAGAUAACCAGGUGCACGAAAAAAAUACGUUAUGAGUAACAAAUAGAAACAACAGGCAACACAAAUAGAUCAAUAUGAUUUGAAUUAUUUGAUUUAUCAGGUACAGAUUAUUAAACCACAAUACUUACUGUAUUCAGAUAAAACCUCAUCUUGAAGAUUUCAAUAUAAAUAAAUAAGAAAUAAAUAAAUAAAAUUCAUAUUUAAAAUCUUCCAAAAUGUUUCCGACCAGGAAAAUUUUAGGCCCAGAUAACUUCACUAGUGAAGAAAAUAAUAUCCAUCCAACACAGUCUUCCAGAUAAUUAAAAAAGAGAGAAUACUCUGCAAGUCAUUUUAAGAUUUGGUAUAACCUUAAUAUCAAAACCCGACAAGGUCAUUAUGGGAAAAGAAAAAUAUAGGUCAAUGUAACUCAUUGACAUAACUGAAAAAAAAUUUAAAGAAGAAAGAACCUGACCAUAUAUGAGAAUAAUAAUAUACUACAUACAAGUUAAGGUAUUCCAGAAAUGAAAGAUUGGUAUAAUAUUUGAAAAUCAAUUAAUGUAAUUUACCACAUUAAGAGAAUAAAGUCUAACAAUCAUAUGAUUAUUUUAAUAGAUGAAGAAAAAAGUAUUUAUAAUAGAAGCCCUUAUUAAAUGGGAAGAGACAGAAAGGGACUUCCUUGAUUUGUUAGAAUAUGUUUAUAAAAAACAUAUAGCAAACAUAAAAUAUAAUGAUGAGUAUAGAAAGCUUUCUCUUUGAAGCUGAAGCUGAGAUUAGGAAGCCCCAGAUCUUUUUAAAAUUUGACUGUAGGUCCCAGGCCAGUGAAAAUAAAAAGAUGAAGGCAGGAAGGCAAAAGGAAGGAAGGAAGGGAAGAAGAAAGAAAAGGUAGAGAAUUGGAAAGGAAGAAAUGAAACUGUCAUGCACAGACAACAUGACUGUAAUUUAGGAAAUCUAAAAGAGUCCAUAUAUAAAAAUUUUGGAAUGAAUAAAUGAGUUCAUCAAGUGUUCUGGAUAUGACAAUAUACAAAAUUCAGUUGCAUUUCUUAAUCAGCAAAAAAACAGUUACAAAAUGGAAGUUUUAAAUCCAAUACAUGAUGAAUGUUACUGAGAUCUUUAAAUAAAUAAAUGGAAUAUAUACCAUGGUCAUGGGUUGGAAGACUCAGUGUUAGGAAGAUGUCAAUUCUCUUCUAACUGACCUAUAAUUACAAUGCAAUCCUAAACAAAACUCCUCCUUCAUUCUCUCCUUCCCUUCUUCCUUCCUUUCAUGGCACUUGACAAGCUGAUUCUAAAGAUUAUAUACAAACACAAAAAGUCAAGAAUAACUUACACAUUAUUGAAAAAAUCCCAAUCUGGAGGACUUUGCUCUGUCUACUAAAUACCAAAACUUAUUAUAAAAUCUAAAUAUUGACACGUUAUAAAGUCAUAGUAGUUUAGUGUGAUACUAAUCCAAGGAUAGCCAAAGAGACCAAUGGAAUCAAAGAGAGAUCCCAGAAACAGACCCAUGCAUUAUGGAUUGCUGAUUUACAAUAAACGUGCAUUGUUAAGCACUGGAGGAAAGGAUAACUUUUAUCAAAUGACACUGAAUGAACUGCAAUAUAUAAUAUGGAAAAUGUAAAUCUUGACCCCUACCUCACAUUAAACAUGUGAUGGGUUAAUUUUUUGUGUUAACUUAACUGGGCCACAGAAUGCCCAGACAUUUGUUCAAAUGUUAUCCUGGGGUAUUUCUGGAUGAGAUUAACAUUUAAAUUGGUAGACAGAAUAAAACAAAUUGCCCUUCCUAACAUAGGUGGGCCUCAUCCAACCAAUUGAAGACCUCAAUAGAAUACAAAGGCUGAGUAAGAGGGAACUUCUGUCUGAUUGUUUGAACUGGGACAUUGGUCUUUUCUUGACUUCAAACUUGAACAGAAAAAUCAACUGUCCUUGGGUCUUGAGCCUGUCUCGAACUUGCUGACUAUAGAUCUUGGGACUUCUUAGCCUCCAUAAUCACAUGAGCCAAUUCCUUGUAAUCUCUCUCUCUCUCUCUCUCUCUCUCUCUCUGUGUAUAUAUAUGUGUGUGCGUAUAUGUAUAUAUAUAUAUAUGUGUGUGUGUAUAUAUAUAUAUAUAUAUGUGCUAUAUAUAUUUGCUAUGGAUUGGUUCUGUUUCUCUGAAAAACCCUAAUGCAAUACACAAAAACUAAUUUGUGGUCAAUUAUACAUCUGUCUUCUAGAAAAUAAUAUAGAAUAUCUUUAUAACUAUGAUGUAGGCACAGACUUUUUAAACUGGACACAGAGUACUUAUCAUAACUAUCAUUCCAUUGAAAUUAAGACAUUCCAUUAGUCAAAUGACACCACAAAGAGAGUAAAAAGACAUGCCACAAAGUUGGUGAGCUAUUUGCAAUACAUUUCACUGACAAAGAGCUCAGAUGCAGAAUAUAUUUUUAAAAUCCUACAAAUUAAUGUGAAAAAGACACAUAAGCCAAUAGUAGAAUGGGAAUAAUACAACCACUUCGUAAAAGAGGAUAUCUAAAUUGUCCAAAAAAAUGAAAGUGUGCUCAGCUUCAUUAGUUAUCAGUGAAAUGAAAAAGGCAGAUAAUAACAAGCAAUGGUGGUGAUGUACAGCACCAAGAACUGUUAUCACUACUGAUGGAAGUGUAAACUGAUACAACCAAUUUGGAAGUUUGGCAUCAUAUAUUACAGUUGAACAUGCAAUUCUCCUCAUAGAUAGCUACCCAACAGAAAUUUGUGUACGUGUAUACUGAGAGGUAUAUAUAAGAAUUUUCAUAGCCGCAUUAUAUAUAAUAUUGAAAAGCUGGAAAUAACCUAAAUUUAUAUAAAGAACAAAACAAUAGCAUAAACUGUGAUAUGUUCAAUAAUUGUAUACUACACAUCAAUGCAAAUAAAUUAAUUAAAUCUAAACAUAGAAACAUGGAUUCAUACCAUAAACAUAACAUUUUAGCUCAGGCUGCUAUAACAAAAUACUAUGGCUUAUAAAAAGCAAAUUUAUUUCUCAUAGUUCUGGAGGCUGGGAAGUACAGGAUCAAGGUGAUAGAUUCAGUGUCUGGUGAGGGCCCUCUUCCUCACAGAUGGCUGUUUUUCACUGUAACCUCACAUGGUAGAAGAGUGAGGGAGCUCUCUGGGGUCUCUUUCAUAAGGGCACUAAUCCCUCCCAGUGGCCCCAACUCCUAAUACUAUCACCUUGGAAGUUUGGAUUUCAACAUAUAAUUUUUUGGGGGAGGGACAUAAACAUUCAGUUUCAUUGUAUAUAGUAUUGAAUAAAAUAUGCCAGCCAUAAAAAAUACAUGCUGUAUAGUUCCAUUUAUAUACAGUUCACAAAACAGGCAAUAUCCUAAACUGUACUGCUUAGGAUAUAAAAUAUAAAGAAAAACAAGGAAAGGGUUACCAUAAAUUUCAGGAUUAUUAUUAGCUCUAGUGGUAAGGAAGGGGGAUGACUGAAGGGGACAUCAAUGGCAUUUCUGGACUGCUAACAGUAUUCUACUUCUUGACAUGAGUGGUGAUUACCCAGUUUUUCAUUUUGUAAUAAAUAAUUUAGCUCUACAUCUUGUGAAUGUGUGUGACUCUAUAUGUGUGCUAUCUUUCAUGAUCAAAUGUUAAAAUGGCAGAACCACAGGAGAAACAAAUUCACAACCAUAAUGAGAAACUUAAUAUGUUAAGUUUAAAUUGUUAUCAGUAACUGAUAGAGCAAGCAGAUAAAAAUUCAGAAAUGAUAAAGAAGCUUGGAACAAUUUGACAAACUUUUCUAAAGGACGUAUACAGAACUCUGAACCCAGUAAAUGUAGGCAUGAAACAUUUUUACAAAAAUUAAUUAUUAGGUCAUAAAGAUGUCACAAUAAAUACAAAAGGAUUGCAGUUAUACACAUGUUCUCUGACCCUCAAUACACCUAUACAGAAAUCAAUAAUUAAUAACAAAAAGAAAACUAGAAAACUUCCAUAUUUGGGAAUAUUUUUGCCCUUUUCUCACAUCAUUCCUCCUGGCAUUUUGUACUAAGAGAAUUUGAUUUGGUGUUAGAGAAUUCAGGCUCUAUGAGGGGCAUACUUUUUGGCCCAAUAUAACUAGUGGGGGUCACAAGUGAAAGGAGAGUCAUCAAAUCUACUGUAAAUAUGGGAUAAUUGAUAUUUGGAGUGGUCAAAAAAUGUUUCCAAGAUCAAAGAGCUGAUAGUAAGUUCCAGUAGUAACUGGAACUCAUGACCCCAAUAGUCCAUGAUCUUAAGAUACUCUGCUAGACUGCAUCUCUCAUAUCCUGUGAGUUGUAUGUGUGGUGAUGGGCAGGAGUCAGCUACUUUGUGCUCCAUUUUGAAGAUAAAAAGACAGCUGGUCCUGGACCCUAAGUCUGUGGACUCUAUUCUCAGUAAACUCAAUGACUGGCCUGUGUAAUUUAAGAAGGCCCUGCUCUCUACAUCUCAGAGCUUUUUUCAUAACAAAUGUCUACUCUCUAGGGGGAAAGAUUUUACCAGAGCUCUGUCUCAGAGCUGUGGGGUAACAGUGAUUACCUAGCUCCAUCACCCUCUACACUUCUUGUGUCAUCUAAGGGGAGGAUCGACGCUAUACAAAAAGAAACACUUGCGAAGGUCACAGGCCAGAGACAUAGGUCCACUAAAAGAUGGAGAUUUAAUUGGAAGAUUAUAGAAUACUCCCUAUCCCCAAUGUCUUAUCACUACACCAUCAGGGCUCUAGUAUAAUAGUAAAUUACAAUGGAAAGAGCUGCAAAAACCAGAGUGUUUCUGUUUGGGAAGCCCAAAGUCAAGAGGGGAGACAAAAACAGGAACACUGAGAAAUUUGAUGCCUCUAGCACCUAUAGCAAUAGCAAACAUUAAUCAAAUCACAACUCCUAGCCAGAUUAACAUAGCUCCUUACACUAGAGGCUUAUUUACCUUAUUUACCUCAGUUCCUAUAUACCUGAUAUAGCAUGUCUAGUUUUUAACAAAAAAUUACAAGACAGCAAAAGCAAGGGGAAAAAAAGUUCUGAAGAAACAAAGCAAGCUUCAGAACCAGACUCAGAUAUGAUACAGUUUUUGAAAUUGUAAGACAAGGAAUUUAAAAUAACUAUGAUCAGAAUGGGUGUGGUGGCUCAUGCCUGUAAUUCUAGCACUUUGGAAGGCCAAGGUAGGAGGAUUGUUGAGGCCAGGAGUUCAAGACCAGUCUGGGCAACAGAGCAAGACUUCGUCUCUUAAAAAAAAAAAAAAAUUAGCUGGGCAUGGUGGUGCCUGCCUGUAGUCCUAGCUACUUGGGACGCUGAGGCAGAAGGAUUGCUUGAGCCCAGGAGUUUGAGGCUACAGUGAGCUGUGAUCAUGCCACCACAUGCCAGUCUGGGCAGCAGAGCAAUAUCUUGUCUCUAAAAAAAUAAAAAUAAUAAUAAAAUAACUAUGAUCAAUACAUUAAGGGCACUAAUGGAAAAAGUAGACAACAUGCCAGAAUAGAUGGAUAAUGAAGCUAGAGAGAAGGAAAUGCCAAUAAAGACUCAAAAGAAAAUACUAGAAAUUAAAAAGAAAACUAACAGAAACAAGGAAUGCCUUUGAUAGGUUCAUCAAUGGACUGGACACAGCUGAGGAAAAAGAUCAAUGAGCUAAAGAUAUGUCAGUAGAAACCUCUCAAACUGAAAUGCAAAUAGAAAAAAAAGACUAAAAAAUAAAACAGAAGAGAAUAUCCAAGAACUAUGGGACAAUUUCAACACAAGUAACAUGUGCUAAAUUGGAAUACCAGAAGAAGGAAUAGAGAAUGAAGCAGAAGAAAUAUUUGAAGUAAUAAUGGCAGAUAACUUUCCAAAAUUAAUAGACACCAAACAAUACAUCCAAGAAGUUCAGUGGACAAUGGGCAGAAUAAAUACCAAAAGAAAACACCACUACACCUAGGCAUAUAAUAUUCAAACUGCAUAAAACCAAAAACAAAGAGGAAAUUGCCGAGACCAGCUCAGUCAUGGAGACCCUAGCCCAGUGGCGCUAGAGGAAUUAAAGACACACACACAGAAAUAUGGCAUGUGGAGUGGGAAAUCAGGGUUCUCACAGCCUUCAGAGCUGAGAGCUCCAAACAGAGAUUUACCCACAUAUUUACUGACAGCAAGCCAGUGAUAAGCAUUGUUCUAUAGAUUAUAGAUUUACUAAAAGUAUUCCUUACGGGAAACAAAGGGAUGGGCAGAAACAAAGGGAUGGGCUCUGGCUAGUUCUCUGCAGCAGGAACAUAUCCUUAAGGCACAGAUUGCUCAUGCUAUUGUUUGUGGCUUAGGAACGCCUUUAAGCGGUUUUCCGCCCUGGGUGGGCUAGGUGUUCCUUGCCCUCAUUCCGGUAAACCCACAACCUUCAGCGUGGGCAUCAUGGCCAUCAUGAACAUGUCACAGUCUUGCAGAGAUUUUGUUUAUGGCCAGUUUAUGGCCAGAUUUGGGGGCCUAUCCCCAGCAGGAAAUAAUGAAAGAAACCAGAGGGGAAAAAAACACCUUACCUGUGGAAGAACAAGGAUAAGAACUGCAGUGGAAUUGUCACCAGAAACCAUGCAAGCAAGAAGACAGUGAAGUGAAAUAUUUAAACUGUUCAAAGAAAAAACAACCAACCUAAAAUUCUUUUUUUUUUUUUUUUUUUUUUGAGACAGGGUCUCACCCUGGCUCGGGCUAGAGAGCGGUGGUGCAAUCAUGGCCCCCUGCAGCCUAGACCUCCUGGGCUCAAGCUAUCCUCCCACCUCGGCCUCCUGAGUAGCUGGGACUACAGGCACAUGUCACCAUGCCAGGCUAAUUUUUGUAUCUUUUUGUAAAGACAGAGUUUCUACAUUUUGCCUAGGCUGGUCUCAAACUGCUGAGCUAAGUGAUCCACCUGCCUUGGCCUCCCACAGUGCUGGGAUUACAGUUGUGCACCACUGUGUCCAGCCUAAAAUUCUAUAUCCAGCAAAAUUAUCCUUCAAAAGUGAAGGAGAAAUGAAAUAAGUACUUUCUCAGACAAAUAAAAACUGAUGGAAUUCAGCACCAGCAAACCUGCACUUUAAGAAAUGUUAAAAGAUUUUCUUCAGGCAACUGAGAUCUACAUAAAGAAUGAAAGAGGAUUAGAAAUGAAAUAAAUGAAAGUAAAGAAAAAUAUUUAUUUUUCUUAUUCUUAAUUGAUCUAAAAGAUAACUGUCUGAAGAAAUAAUAGCAACAAUAUACUGAGUGAUUAUAGUGUAUGAGUAAUUGAAAUGAAUGACAAAUGCUCUGCAUUAAGGUAUGUGCACUACAUACAAGUUAAGCAUAAGAGUGUUAUCUGAAAGUGGACUUGGCUGGGCACGGUGGCUCACGCCUAUAAUCCCAGCACUUUGGGAGGCCGAGGCAGGUGGAUCACGAGGUCAGGAGAUCAAGACCAUCCUGGCUAACACAGUGAAACCUUGUCUCUACUAAAUAUACAAAAAAAAAAAUUAGCCGGGCAAGGUGGUGGGCACCUAUAGUCCCAGCUACUCAGGAGGCUGAAGCAGGAGAAUGGUGUGAACCCAGGAGGCAGAGCUUGCAGUGAGCCGAGAUUGCGCCACUGCACUCCAGCCUGGGCGACAGAGCGAGACUCUGUCUCAAAAAAAAAAAAAAAAUUAGCCGGCGUGGUGGCACAUGCCUGUAGUCCCAGCUACUCGGGAGGCUGAAGCAGGAGAAUCACAUGAACCCAGGAGGUGGAGGUUGCAGUGAGCCAAGGUCGCACCAUUGCCCUCCAGCCUGGGCAACAGAGUGAGACUCCGUCUCAAAAGAAAAAAAAAGAAAGUGGACUUAGAUUGGUUAAAAUAUGUAGUAAACUCAAGAGAAAUCAGUAAAAGUUGUUUAAAAAAGUAUAACUGAUACUCUAAGAGAGGAGACAAAAUGAAACCAUGUAAAAUAAUUAAAACCAGAGAAGGCAGAAAAAGAAACCUUGGACAACAAAUAGAAAACUGUUACGAACAUGGUUGAUAUUAAUCCAAAUAUAUCAAGAAACACUCUAAAUGUGAGUAGUCAAAAUACACCAAUUGAAGACAAAAUUUGUCAGAGUGAAUUUUAAAAAAAACCAACUAGGCCAAGCACAGUGGCUCACGCCAGUAAUCCUAGCACUUUGGGAGGCCGAGGUGAGCAGAUCACUUGAGCCCAGGAGUUUGAGACCAGCCUAGGAAACAUGGUGAAACCCCAUCUCUACAAAAAAUACAAAAAUUUGCCAGGUGUGGUGGCAUGUGUCUAUGGUCACAGCUACUCAGGAGGCUGGGGUAGGAGGCUCGAUUGAGCCCAGGAGGCCAAAGCUGCAGUGAGCCAUGAUCAUGCUACUGCACUCCAGCCUAGGUGACAGAAUGAGACCCUAUCUCAAAAAAAAGAAAAAACCCAACUACCUGUUGUCUACAAGAAGCCCACUUUAAACAUAAGACUGAGAGGUUAAACAUAAAGCAAUAGAGAAAGAUAUAUCCUACUACACUAAUGAAAAGAAAGCUGGAGUAGCUAUAUAAUUUUAGACAGAACUGACUUCAGAACAAAGACAAUUAUCAGAGAUAAAAAGGGGCAUUACAUAAUGAUAAAGGGAACAAUUCUCCAACACAUAAUAAUUAUAAUUAGUUAUGUACCUAACAAUAGAGUGUCAACAUAUGUGAGGCAAACACUAAUAGAAAUGAAAGGAGAAAUAGACAAAAAUCCAUUAUUAGAGUUGCAGACUUCAAUAACCCCUCCUGCCACUCAGUAAUUGAUAGAUUAAGCAGGCAGAAAAUCAAUAUGGAUAUAGUUGAUCUGAAAGGCAUACUAAUCAACUUUAGCUAAAUGACACUUCAUCUAAUUUACAGAACACCCCAACAGCAGAACACCAUUUUUUUCAAGCUCACAUAGAAAAUUCACCAAGAGAGAACAUAUUCUGGUCCAUAAAAGAUACCAUGACAAACUAAAAAUAAGAGAAAUCACAAGUAUGCUCUCAAUAAAAUUAAACUAAAAAUCAGUAACAGAAAGAUAGAUGGAAAACAAAUAUCUGGAAAUUAAAGAUACGUCUAAAUAACACAGCUCAAAAAGAGCUCUCAAAAGAAAUGAACCAACCCAAAUGCCCAUCAAUGAUAGACUGGAUUAAGAAAAUGUGACACAUAUACACCAUAGAAUACUAUGCACCCAUAAAAAAGGAUGAGUUCAUGUCCUUUGCAGGGACAUGGAUGAUGCCUGAAACCAUCAUUCUCAGCAAACUAACACAAGAACAGAAAACCAAAUACUGCAUGUUCUCACUUAUAAGUGGGAGUUGAUCAAUGAGAACACAUGGACACAGGGAGGGCAGCAUCACACACCAGGGCCUGUCAGGAGGUGGGGGGUAAGGGAGGGAUAGCAUUAGGAGAAAUACCUAAUAUAGGUAACGGGUUGAUGGGUGUGGCAAACCACCAUGGAACAUGUAUACCUAUGUAACAAACCUGCACGUUCUGCUUAUGUACCCCAGAACUUAAAGUAGUAAAAAAAAAAAAAGACACAGCAAGAAGUUCACAGUCUGCAACUUGAAAGAGGACCCUCACAAGAACCCAACCAUGCUGGUACCUGAUCUUGGACUUCCAGACUUCCAGAACUGUGAGGAAAAAAAUAUUGCUGUUGUUUAUAAGCCACCCAGACUAUGGUAUUUUAUUAUAGCAACCCGAACAGACUGGUAUGGUUAAUGUAUGGAUUUUUGCCAAUUUUUACCUUACCCUCCAACAUUAAAGAAACUUGUUACUUUGCUACUUUAUUUUCUUCCCC